Molecule: microRNA, 25 nt
Filed under: Eptesicus fuscus (big brown bat)
Lineage: Eukaryota; Metazoa; Chordata; Mammalia; Chiroptera; Vespertilionidae
Description: efu-miR-9320
Source: miRBase by way of RNAcentral
CUUGAACUGUUGAACUUGCUUUUUG